Molecule: long non-coding RNA, 1125 nt
Filed under: Sorghum bicolor (sorghum)
Lineage: Eukaryota; Viridiplantae; Streptophyta; Magnoliopsida; Poales; Poaceae
Description: long non-coding RNA (SBIC_LNC016156)
Source: RNAcentral
CCUCAUGAUAAGCUCUCACAUGGAAAUGAUGAAUAGUUGCUCUGCCUAGUUCUCAAAAUUGAAAUCUUUCUCAAGUUUAGGCAUGACUGUUAUGAAUUAAGAUUUGCUCUAAAACCUGAACUUGUGGGAAGAGUACUUGAUCUAAAGUCUAAGUCAUUAACGGAUAUGAUAUGGAAAGGUUGAGCUGCUGUUUAUCUGUUCCUAGAGAUGUUAGAAUUAUGGAGAAUUUUAUCUUUGAAAAUCUUUAAAAUAACACAUGAUGAGUUCCUAUAUGAUGAGAGUUUAAAAUCCUACCGCAGCCAGAUAUACAUGCUUAUUAGACUUUGAGCCACACAUUUACUUUUUACUGCUUAUGAGCGCUAAGUGUGGUCAAGCUGUGUAGACCCUUAGGAGCUUGUCAUGUGGUUAAAAUCAAGAUUCACUUGCACGUUCACUCACACAUGCUGCUUCUACUCCGGAAGUACGCAUCCACAUAUAUCCACUCACUUCCAUCUCCAGAGCCACCCAAAAGUAUUCUACUCCUUAUCUGGGAGAGAAUAGCCAAAAACAUUCUCCUAUUUCUGUUUUUCCCUGUGAAAUAAAUGCUCGAGUUAUCUUGGUUACUACCACUUGCCAUAUUAUUUCAGGAGAUGAGUGCUCUAGUAAAAAAAGAGAGAAAGAAUAUGAGGAAAUAAAAAGGGGCAAGUGCCCGGAACCUCGAAGAAAAAGAAAAAGUGAGACGAGAGGUAAAAAUGGACAAGUGUCCGACAGUAGAAUUAGGGGUACAAGAUACCCACCGGAGAGAAAAGAAAAAGAAAAUAUAAGAGCAUCUCAUUCUCCUCAAAAAGCUUCAAAGUGCAAGAAAGGUAUGUAUCCCCUCAAAAGAGCAAAAGUAGAAUUAGACUUUCACCAUUGUUAUCACCAUCAUCAACAUACACCAUUCACUCGCCACACAUGCACAUCUUGAUUUGACUUAUUGACUUGUUUCUCUAGAUCCAUGGUUUGACUAUGCAAUAAAUGUCUUGUAAGUAUGUAUUAUAUGUCUCCCACCUAUGAGCUCCAGAUAUCAAAACCUUAUUAGAGUAGGGUGAGAGAGAAGGCAAUAUCACUAUGCCUCACACCAAAAAUACCACAUACUUUGAGAGA